GAUGAACGCUGGCGGCGUGCUUAACACAUGCAAGUCGAACGGAAAGGCCCAAGCUUGCUUGGGUUCUCGAGUGGCGAAGGGGUGAGUAACACGUGGGGGAUCUGCCCUGCACUUCGGGAUAAGCCUGGGAAACUGGGUCUAAUACCGGAUAGGACCACUUCAUGGGUGUUGUGGUGGAAAGUUUUGUCGGUGUGGUAUGAGCUGGCGGGCUAUCAGCUUGUUGGUGGGGUAAUGGCCUACCAACGCGUCGACGGGUAGCCGGACUGUGGGAGUGUACGGCGACCUUGGGACCGACGGACGGCAGCGACACCGAAGGGAGGGAGCUGGGGGGAAUAUUGAACGAUCGGCGCAAGGCUGAUGCAGAGGCGCCGCGUGGGGUAAGACGGCCUUAGGGUUGUAAAAUAAUUGCGCAAGGGACGAAGCGUUUCGUGACGGUACCUGGAGAAGAAGCACCGGCUAACUACGUG
Molecule: ribosomal RNA, 467 nt
Filed under: uncultured bacterium
Lineage: Bacteria
Description: partial 16S ribosomal RNA
Rfam family: Bacterial small subunit ribosomal RNA
Source: RNAcentral